This 292-nucleotide small RNA is filed under the name Fusarium vanettenii 77-13-4. RNAcentral's name for it is "Nectria haematococca mpVI 77-13-4 5' ureB small RNA". It matches the Rfam family "5' ureB small RNA". The record is from Rfam by way of RNAcentral. Lineage: Eukaryota; Fungi; Ascomycota; Sordariomycetes; Hypocreales; Nectriaceae.
CCUCGGGUACCUGCUGUGGACAGAUAAAGUGGAUGUGACUAUCGAUGGCUCCGGCGGUGACAAUCUUGCCCUCCCCUGCGACGACAUCCGUACAGCUUCCAACCACCAUGCCGGGCGUCACGCCGUCCAUCACGUCUGGAUUGCCCGCCUUGCCGAUGCCCACGAUCAUGCCCUCCUUGACACCGAUAUCUGCCUUGUAAAUGCCGGUCCAGUCCACGAUGAGCGCGUUGGUCACAACCAGAUCCAGAGUCUCAGCAUCUGGUCGACCCGUUGCCUGACCCAUUCCCUCACG